GGGGGUGAUCGGUUUCGACGGUGAUCGUCGAGCCAGGAGAAGCGGGUCGAGGAUGCACGGUUAUCUCGUAAACGAUCCGUGCAAACCAAUAGGUGCCGAUUCCAAGCGCACCGACUUCGCACUCGCCGCCUGAGCGAGUCUUCGAAGUCCGUUGGCCUGAGUACGCUCUCGACUCAGUAACCAGCGUCAUCUAGAGAGCCACUGCUGGUCGUCAUCGUCAGUGUGACGGCCGGGACUCUUAGCUGACUGAGCCCGUCCAUCUUCCUGUCUGCGGGGGGAUGGGGGCCGAGAAAAUCAUCAGCAGACUGCACCCGGAGAAGUCCUGGUUUCUCGUCAUCGGACGCGGGUUCGAUUCCCGCCACCUCCACUA
Molecule: transfer-messenger RNA, 370 nt
Filed under: Cellulomonas rhizosphaerae
Lineage: Bacteria; Bacillati; Actinomycetota; Actinomycetes; Micrococcales; Cellulomonadaceae
Description: Standard tmRNA
Rfam family: transfer-messenger RNA
About the family: Bacterial tmRNA, also known as 10Sa RNA or SsrA, is named for its dual tRNA and mRNA-like properties.
Source: RNAcentral